Molecule: unclassified non-coding RNA, 1116 nt
Organism: Stegodyphus dumicola
Lineage: Eukaryota; Metazoa; Arthropoda; Arachnida; Araneae; Eresidae
Source: RefSeq, a predicted model, not a curated record
UUGAACUUGUCGAACGACUUGCAGGUUAGCUUAUCUGGCAGUCUUAACGUUACGAAUUUAGCUCUCUGCGUCACAGUCGGUAUUAGAUAAUAACUUUAUCGCCGAAGCAUGUGCCACCAAAGAAAUCCAUUAUUUACGUAUGUUUAGUUUUUAUUCUUCGUGAAUGAUUUUUCCUGCGCUUUUCUUUCUGGAACUGCGUUUUCCAUCCCAUUGUUAUUUGUCGGAACUCAUUUGACAAUAAGGAUAAAAGAAUGUUCUAUAGCUUUUUGCGUUUACGCCUUUUUUAAUUGCAAGUAGACCUUUUAGGUAGGGAGAAAGAAGGAAAAAAAAAACCAAGAUUUGGAAUUAUGUUGAAUUUUGCUUCCGUUUAACCUGUAUGUUUUCCUUCUUUAACCAAACAUCUGAUUUGCUCUUGCAAUGGUUGAGAAACUUUCCUCCAAAGCGAAGGAUAUUAGUGUAAAACCAUUCGCCGGUAUUGUUUUGGAGCACUGACGAAAGCAAAAGAAGCUAUUGUUUUAACUCUAGAAAAACCUUUUCAUCAUGGAAUGCAAGAUCGGCAUAUGCUGUACCAUAGACUUUGAGAAGAUGCUGUCUCGGAUAUUGUACAUAGCAGCAAUUUUAAAUGACUUAUUCGGCUUCGACCAGCCAAUUUGCAUAGCCCGCGGGGCGUUGUUUUUUGGAUUGCUCUAUAUAUUUCUCUUCUACUUUAACUUUCACGUGAUUGUGUCUGUUGGACUAGCCUAUGCUAUUUUCUAUCAUGCCGGUGGAGACAAGCAAGCAAAGAUUAUGUACCGGACUAUUGCUCGAGAUCUGAGGAAAUGGACUUCUCCACAAGGAUGACUGUGUUCUGAAAUUUCUGUUACACGUGUAUUUGCCGAAGCUUUUCAUUUAAUCCUUCGAAUUUUAGUCAAGAUCAAUCUUCUUUCCUCUCGUAGAGAUAAAAGUGAAAUGGACAGUAUUAAGGCAGUAUUAAGGAUUUAAUUUUCAAGAGGGGUUAAAGACAAGAAUAAAGUCUUUACACUGCAUGGGAGUGGAUAUUCCUUGUCAUUUUGAUGUUUUUCUUUCUGUGCUCCUUCUUUAGUUGUGAAUUACGAUUAAAGUAGGAUAUGUUAAGUA